Long non-coding RNA from Ailuropoda melanoleuca (giant panda), 2631 nucleotides. RefSeq lists it as uncharacterized. The record is from RefSeq and is a predicted model, not a curated record. Lineage: Eukaryota; Metazoa; Chordata; Mammalia; Carnivora; Ursidae. The transcript is spliced from 3 exons.
GGGAGGCGCGGGGAGCUCGCCGCCGCUCCUCGCUUGGGCAGGGGAGAAGACGCCCCCCACCCCCUCUAGUUCGGCCUCUCCAUUCAAGUUCGCCGACCCCGGCCGCCGGGAUCCGGGGAUGGCACCAGCCGCCCGCCCAGCUCUGCGCCCUUUUUCCAGCCAUCGCGCAGAAAUUUAGGUCAAGGACGUCGGGAUCAAACCCAAACCCUGGCGCUCCUCGGCGGGCCCGAGACCCCCCAGGAUCGGGGAGCUUCAGGAUUGAGGAGACCCUCCCGCACAAAUAGCAGCCACAAGUUUUAUUUUCUUUUGGCGCUGGAAGUUCUCUCUGGCUCUCGCUCCACACCCGCACGUCUUGCGCCGCUCCCCGCCCUUCCCCGGCGGAGGUACGAAUCCGUGCCGGGGAAAGGUUAUUUUGGAACUUUGAGAAACUGACGCGAUUCCAGCGGACACAAUGGAAUACACUCAACACCAGAACUGUACCGAACCCACCGCAGUCAUGGCAAAGUGGACCAUUUGGAAAAUCCCAACACUAGCCAAAGCCUUGGAUGACCAGAUUCUUCAUCUCCCUGCCUCCUAAAUUUGGGAUAAUUCCUCACUGACAGGAUUGAUGGGGUGAGAGAAGAGAUUGAAAGAUAGAAACAGCCAGCGAGAGAGGGAACACAAGCAGGGGGAGUGGGAGAGGAAGAAGCAGGCUCAUAGCAGAGGAGCCUGAUGUGGGGCUCGAACCCAUAACCCCGGGAUCACGCCCUGAGCCAAAGGCAGACGCCCAACCGCUGUGCCACCCAGGCGCCCCUCAGCCUCCUGUUUUCUGAUUGUAACAUAGAAGACUAUGGAUUUCACUCUGAGUACCACUCAAGCUACAUUCCACAAGAUAUAGAGAAUUUUUAUUAUCAUCCCAGGCGAAGAAUAGAUUUCAAAUACGAUUUCUUCUUUGGCUCAAUACAUGUGUAUCUUUAUAUUUCUAAACAUAAGGUUUUUGUUUUGAUUUUUAGUUAUUUAUAUCUAGGGUAAUUGAAUUAGGGUCAGAGAAGGUGGUGUGUAUAAAACAGAUUCUUGUUAUUUGUUGAGUCUUGCUUUGCCAAAUGGUCAAUCUUUAUAAAUAUUCCAUGUGGCUUUGAAAAGAAUAUUCCAUAUGGCUGGCUCAGUUGGUGGAGCACGCAACUCUUGAUCUUGGGGUCAAGAGUUCAAGCCCCAUUUUGGACAUAGAGCUUACUUAAAAAAAAAAAAAACAGAAUGGGUAUGCCUUAAUUGUUAAGUGUAGCAUACCAUAUAGAUCUAUCAAAUCAAGCUUCUUAAUAUGUUAUCCAGAUUUUCUGUAGCCUUACUAAUAUUUUGUUUGUUUAAUCUAUCACUUUUUGUAGUAGUAUAUCAAAAUCUCCUUAUAUGAUUGAAUUUGCCAGUUUCUCCUAAAAAUCUCUCAAAUUUUAUUUUUCCUAUAUUUUAAAAAUAUGUGAUAAGGCAUGUCAAAAAGGGCUGUUAAUAUCUCCUACUAUGGCUGUGCAUUUUUCUAUUCUUUACAUUUUAUUUGUCUUACUUUUUGCUUUAUGUAUUUUGAAGCUAUGUUAUUAGGUACAUGCAAGCUUAGAUAUACUGUUUUCCCAGUGAAUUGUUUCUUUAAUAUAUACAGUUGACCCUUGAACAACACAGGUUUGAACUGUGCAGGUCUGCUUAUAUACAGACUUUUUUCAAUAAAGAUAGUACAGUACUGUGAAAUUACUGUAUAUUUUCUCUUCUAUUUUCUUAAUAACAUUAUUUUUUCUCUAGCUUACUUUAUUGUGAGAAUACAGUAUACAAUACAUAUAACGUAUAAAGUAUGUAAUUGUUAUUUAUUGUGAGAAUAUGGUAUAUAAUACAUACACAAAAUAUGUAUUAAUUGACUCUUUAUGUCUUCCAGUCACGAUAGGCUAUUGGUAGUUAAGUUUUGGGGGAGUUGAAAGUCAUAUGCAGAUUUUCACCUGCUCAGAGGGUCAUCAUCCCUAACCCCUGCAUGGUUCAAGGAUCAACUAUACACAAAUGAUCUUUAACCAUAGUACUCUUAGAUUGAAAGUCUGCUUUGCCUGUGAAAAAUAUAACUACUCCAACUUCUAAUUAGCAUUUGCCUGGCAUUAUCUUUUUCCAUCCUUUACUUUCAACCUUUCUAUGUCUAUAAGUUUUAUGUGAGUCUCUUAUAGACAGCAUGUAGCUGGAUCUUGUUCAUUCACUUAUUUGGUUAGUAAGUUUUGUUGAUUUACAUUUAAUGUGAUGUUUUUAAUGAAACUUAGGGGUGCAAAAAUAUAUUAACCACAAUCUCUGGGAUUAACACACUGUCAUCAUUGGGUAUAUUCAUGGCCUUAUUUUAUUUUGUUUUUUGAUAUUAUGAACACCUAUAAACCUGUUAUUCAAUGAGAGAACAAAAGCCGUUAACAAUGACGUACAACUACCUAUAUGCUUCUCCCCUAUCUUUUCUUCCAUCUGAAGUAACCACUAAUCUCAAUCUUGCAUUUAUUAUUAUUUUGCUUUUUAAAAAUUUUUAUCAAAUGUUCAUCACAUACUUGUUUUAAGUUAUUAUGAAACAUUUCUGAGGUUUAUAUUUUUUGCCCCACAUCAUAUUGUUAAGGUUCAGCUAGAUUAUUACAUCUGGUUGUCGUUCUU